Molecule: ribosomal RNA, 373 nt
Filed under: uncultured bacterium
Lineage: Bacteria
Description: bacterial SSU rRNA
Rfam family: Bacterial small subunit ribosomal RNA
Source: RNAcentral
GUAGGGGGCGAGCGUUGUCCGGAUUUAUUGGGCGUAAAGAGCUCGUAGGCGGCUUGGCAAGUCGGGUGUGAAAACUCCAGGCUCAACCUGGAGAUGCCACUCGAGACUGCUAUGGCUAGAGUCCGGUAGGGGACCACGGAAUUCCUGGUGUAGCGGUGAAAUGCGCAGAUAUCAGGAGGAACACCGGUGGCGAAGGCGGUGGUCUGGGCCGGCACUGACGCUGAGGAGCGAAAGCGUGGGGAGCGAACAGGAUUAGAUACCCUGGUAGUCCACGCCGUAAACGUUGGGCACUAGGUGUGGGACCUUAUCAACGGGUUCCGUGCCGUAGCUAACGCAUUAAGUGCCCCGCCUGGGGAGUACGGCCGCAAGGCUA